RNAcentral lists this ribosomal RNA (520 nucleotides) under uncultured Glomus. RNAcentral's name for it is "SSU rRNA". It matches the Rfam family "Eukaryotic small subunit ribosomal RNA", at positions 569 to 1093 of the family's 1831-position model. The record is from RNAcentral. Lineage: Eukaryota; Fungi; Glomeromycota; Glomeromycetes; Glomerales; Glomeraceae.
CGCAGCCGCGGUAAUUCCAGCUCCAAUAGCGUAUAUUAAAGUUGUUGCAGUUAAAAAGCUCGUAGUUGAAUUUCGAGAUCAAUUUGUUGGUCGUGCCUCGGUACGUACUGGCAAUUUUGAUUUCUCCCUUCUGAAGAACCAUGACGUCAUUAAUUUGGUGUCAUGGGGAAUCAGGACCGUUACUUUGAAAAAUUAGAGUGUUUAAAGCAGGCUCGCGCUUGAAUACAUUAGCAUGGAAUAAUGAAAUAGGACGUUUGAUUCUAUUUUGUUGGUUUCUAGGAUCGACGUAAUGAUUAAUAGGGAUAGUUGGGGGCAUUAGUAUUCAAUUGUCAGAGGUGAAAUUCUUGGAUUUAUUGAAGACUAACUACUGCGAAAGCAUUUGCCAAGGAUGUUUUCAUUAAUCAAGAACGAAAGUUAGGGGAUCGAAGACGAUCAGAUACCGUCGUAGUCUUAACCAUAAACUAUGCCGACUAGGGAUCGGAUGAUGUUAAUUUUUAAUGACUCAUUCGGCGCCUUACGG